GAUCUGGUCUCCACCCCGCAGAGGAGGUCACCUCCCAAAAGGAGGAGUUCCAUGAACACUAUCAACACUGCACCAGGAGUUAUUCAACAGAGACCUCAAAGGAAGAGAUCCUGUAAUUGAUGCUGGGCCAGGCAGCACAACUCCUCCAGCUACUGCAGACGUGAGGCAUCUGCAUUAGAAAAGCUUAGAAAACAGGAGAAGAAAGCAGAAAAUCAAGCAGAAAAGGAGGAAGAGCAUUAGCUGAUAGAAGGAGACAGAUUUAAAACGAAAGGCAAUAAUGGAAGGAUAAAAGAGAAUAUAAAUUUGAA
This is a long non-coding RNA of Vidua chalybeata, 308 nucleotides long. RefSeq lists it as uncharacterized. Lineage: Eukaryota; Metazoa; Chordata; Aves; Passeriformes; Viduidae. The record is from RefSeq and is a predicted model, not a curated record. The transcript is spliced from 3 exons.